GUUGGGAAUCUUGCGCAAUGGGCGAAAGCCUGACGCAGCGACGCCGCGUGCGGGAUGACGGUCUUCGGAUUGUAAACCGCUUUUCCCAGGGACGAUAAUGACGGUACCUGGGGAAGAAGCCCCGGCUAACUCCGUGCCAGCAGCCGCGGUAAGACGGAGGGGGCAAGCGUUGUCCGGAAUUACUGGGCGUAAAGCGCUCGUAGGCGGUCGCGUACGGCGGUGGUGAAAGCUCCCGGCUCAACUGGGAGAGGCCCGCCGCAACGGCGUGACUCGAGGGUGGUAGAGGCAGAUGGAAUUCCUGGUGUAGCGGUGAAAUGCGUAGAGAUCAGGAGGAACACCCGUGGCGAAGGCGAUCUGCUGGGCCAUGCCUGACGCUGAGGAGCGAAAGCUAGGGGAGCGAACGGGAUUAGAAACCCGGGUAGUCC
This 425-nucleotide ribosomal RNA is filed under the name uncultured bacterium. Its description in RNAcentral is "bacterial SSU rRNA". It matches the Rfam family "Bacterial small subunit ribosomal RNA", at positions 354 to 796 of the family's 1533-position model. The record is from RNAcentral.